This 253-nucleotide ribosomal RNA is filed under the name uncultured bacterium. Its description in RNAcentral is "partial 16S ribosomal RNA". It matches the Rfam family "Bacterial small subunit ribosomal RNA", at positions 524 to 776 of the family's 1533-position model. The record is from RNAcentral.
UACGUAGGGUGCAAGCGUUGUCCGGAAUUAUUGGGCGUAAAGCGCGCGCAGGCGGCCUCGCGCGCCCGACGUGAAAGCCCCCGGCUUAACCGGGGAGGGUCGUUGGGGACGGCGGGGCUUGAGGGCGGGAGAGGUCGGUGGAAUUCCCGGUGUAGUGGUGAAAUGCGUAGAGAUCGGGAGGAACACCUGUGGCGAAGGCGGCCGACUGGGCCGACCCUGACGCUGAGGCGCGAAGGCGUGGGGAGCGAACGGG